GUAGGUGGCAAGCGUUGUCCGGAAUUAUUGGGCGUAAAGCGCGCGCAGGUGGUUCUUUAGGUCUGAUGUGAAAGCCCCCGGCUCAACCGGGGAGGGUCAUUGGAAACUGGGGAACUUGAGUGCAGGAGAGGAAAGUGGAAUUCCACGUGUAGCGGUGAAAUGCGUAGAUAUGUGGAGGAACACCAGUGGCGAAGGCGACUUUCUGGCCUGUAACUGACACUGAGGCGCGAAAGCGUGGGGAGCAAACAGGGAUUAGAUACCCUGGUAGUCCACGCCGUAAACGAUGAGUGCUAAGUGUUGGGGGGGUUUCCCGCCCCUCAGUGCUGCAGCUAACGCAUUAAGCACUCCGCCUGGGGAGUACGGUCGCAAGACUG
RNAcentral lists this ribosomal RNA (374 nucleotides) under uncultured organism. RNAcentral describes it as "partial 16S ribosomal RNA". It matches the Rfam family "Bacterial small subunit ribosomal RNA", at positions 527 to 896 of the family's 1533-position model. The record is from RNAcentral.